UCGGAUUAAUACCCCAUAAUGUAUAUUGAUCACCUGAUUAAGAUAUUAAAACUCCGGUGGUGUAAGAUGGGCAUGCGUGACAUUAGAUAGUUGGUGAGGUAACGGCUCACCAAGUCGACGAUGUCUAGGGGUUCUGAGAGGAAGGUCCCCCACACUGGUACUGAGACACGGACCAGACUCCUACGGGAGGCAGCAGUGAGGAAUAUUGGUCAAUGGACGCAAGUCUGAACCAGCCAUGUCGCGUGUAGGAAGACUGCCCUAUCGGUUGUAAACUACGUUUAUAUGGGAAGAAUAGCAGAUACGCGUAUUUGUUUGCCGGUACCAUAUGAAUAAGCAUCGGCUAACUCCGUGCCAGCAGCCGCGGUAAUACGGAGGAUGCAAGCGUUAUCCGGAUUCAUUGGUUUAAAGGGUGCGUAGGCGGACUAUUAAGUCAGAGGUGAAAGUUUGCGGCUCAACCGUAAAAUUGCCUUUGAUACUGGUAGUCUUGAGUACAUUUGAGGUAGGCGGAAUGUGAUGUGUAGCGGUGAAAUGCUUAGAUAUAUCACAGAACACCGAUUGCGAAGGCAGCUUACUAAACUGUAACUGACGCUGAGGCACGAAAGCGUGGGUAUCGAACAGGAUUAGAUACCCUGGUAGUCCACGCCGUAAACGAUGAUUACUAGUUGUUUGCAAUACACCGUAAGCGACAAAGCGAAAGCAUUAAGUAAUCCACCUGGGGAGUACGUUGGCAACAAUGAAACUCAAAGGAAUUGACGGGGGCCCGCACAAGCGGUGGAACAUGUGGUUUAAUUCGAUCAUACGCGAGGAACCUUACCUGGGCUUAAAUGGGGAGUGACAGAACCAGAGAUGGUUUUUUCUUCGGACACUCUUCAAGGUGCUGCAUGGUUGUCGUCAGCUCGUGCCGUGAGGUGUCGGGUUAAGUCCCAUAACGAGCGCAACCCACGUCUUUAGUUACCAGCAUGUCAUGAUGGGGACUCUAGAGAGACUGCCGGUGUAAACCGCGAGGAAGGUGUGGAUGACGUCAAAUCAGCACGGCCCUUACGUCCAGGGCUACACACGUGUUACAAUGGCCGGUACAGAGGGCAGCUACUAUGCGAAUAGAUGCGAAUCUCGAAAACCGGUCUCAGUUCGGAUCGGAGUCUGCAACCCGACUCCGUGAAGCUGGAAUCGCUAGUAAUCGCGCAUCAGCCAUGGCGCGGUGAAUACGUUCCCGGGCCUUGUACACACCGCCCGUCAAACCAUGGAAGCCGGGGGUACCUGAAGUCUGUAACCGUAAGGAGCGGCCUAGGGUAGAUCUGGUAACUAGGGUUAAGUCGAAACAAGGUA
RNAcentral lists this ribosomal RNA (1326 nucleotides) under metagenome. Its description in RNAcentral is "bacterial SSU rRNA". It matches the Rfam family "Bacterial small subunit ribosomal RNA", at positions 158 to 1498 of the family's 1533-position model. The record is from RNAcentral.